CCGCGACUCUUUGUAACUCACAUUCAAUCACUCGUAACGUAUUUCCUUAAAUACGGAUCGUGCAAAGGCUAUAAAGACCAAGGUCUUCACCACCGAGUUACCGGUACACAACCUCAACGCUUCACUUUCUCAUCUUGACACCGCAACCCACUGGAGAUACAAGAACGCCACUGCACCGGAGCACCAUUCUAAACAUCCCAAACACUCUUUCUGUUCAUCAAUUCGCUGGAGCAAGAGGAAUCACCGGAGCCGCACGUUACACCGGAGCUCCAACUAAACCGCCAGGAAGUACAUAACGGUGUCGAAGACAACCGGAUUUUCGACAGAAACCACUUCACUCGAUUACCUUUUCGCGUAACCCGCAAGCCACGCCUGAGGAAGCAGACGCGGCUGGAAAACACGAGUACGUCGCCGGAGUAACGGACCUCGUCGGAAAAUAUCGAGAAUCAAGCCACCCGUUUCGUUCUACGAUGGAUGAGGAAGUCAAGAUUUGAAGAAAUGAAUAGGAUGGCCUAGAAACCCACUUUUGAAAUAAACUAUGUUUAAUGUUUGUUAUUUCCUUUUAUGACAAUGUAUGAAACUUUGCAAUUUUAAUAAAUGAAAUUUAAUUAUAUUGUC
RNAcentral lists this long non-coding RNA (618 nucleotides) under Helianthus annuus (common sunflower). RNAcentral's name for it is "hypothetical non coding rna". Lineage: Eukaryota; Viridiplantae; Streptophyta; Magnoliopsida; Asterales; Asteraceae. The record is from RNAcentral.